This 470-nucleotide ribosomal RNA is filed under the name Escherichia coli. RNAcentral's name for it is "bacterial LSU rRNA". It matches the Rfam family "Bacterial large subunit ribosomal RNA", at positions 1 to 501 of the family's 2925-position model. Lineage: Bacteria; Pseudomonadati; Pseudomonadota; Gammaproteobacteria; Enterobacterales; Enterobacteriaceae. The record is from RNAcentral.
GGGUUGUGAGGUUAAGCGACUAAGCGUACACGGUGGAUGCCCUGGCAGUCAGAGGCGAUGAAGGACGUGCUAAUCUGCGAUAAGCGUCGGUGAGGUGAUAUGAACCGUUAUAACCGGCGAUUUCCGAAUGGGGAAACCCAGUGUGAUUCGUCACACUAUCAUUAACUGAAUCCAUAGGUUAAUGAGGCGAACCGGGGGAACUGAAACAUCUAAGUACCCCGAGGAAAAGAAAUCAACCGAGAUUCCCCCAGUAGCGGCGAGCGAACGGGGAGGAGCCCAGAGCCUGAAUCAGUGUGUGUGUUAGUGGAAGCGUCUGGAAAGGCGCGCGAUACAGGGUGACAGCCCCGUACACAAAAAUGCACAUAUUGUGAGCUCGAUGAGUAGGGCGGGACACGUGGUAUCCUGUCUGAAUAUGGGGGGACCAUCCUCCAAGGCUAAAUACUCCUGACUGACCGAUAGUGAACCAGUAC